GGGGCUCUAGCUCAUAUGGUAGAGCGUUCGCUUCGCAUUCAUGCGACCCUGGAUCUGCGAGAGGCACAGGGUUCGAUUCCCUGGUGCUCCA
Transfer RNA from Puccinia triticina 1-1 BBBD Race 1, 91 nucleotides. It matches the Rfam family "tRNA". Rfam says of the family: Transfer RNA (tRNA) molecules are approximately 80 nucleotides in length. NCBI's taxonomy places the organism in Eukaryota, Fungi, Basidiomycota, Pucciniomycetes, Pucciniales, Pucciniaceae. The record is from Rfam.